This 438-nucleotide ribosomal RNA is filed under the name uncultured bacterium. Its description in RNAcentral is "partial 16S ribosomal RNA". It matches the Rfam family "Bacterial small subunit ribosomal RNA", at positions 339 to 795 of the family's 1533-position model. The record is from RNAcentral.
CUACGGGCGGCUGCAGUGGGGAAUAUUGCACAAUGGAGGAAACUCUGAUGCAGCAACGCCGCGUGGAGGAUGACACUUUUCGGAGCGUAAACUCCUUUUAUAUAGGAAGAAGAUGACGGUACUAUAUGGAUAAGCGCCGGCUAACUCCGUGCCAGCAGCCGCGGUAAUACGGAGGGCGCAAGCGUACUCGGAAUCACUGGGCGUAAAGAGCGUGUAGGCGGAUUAAAAAGUCAGAAGUGAAAUCCUAUAGCUUAACUAUAGAACUGCUUCUGAAACUCUUAAUCUAGAAUAUGGGAGAGGUAGAUGGAAUUUCUGGUGUAGGGGUAAAAUCCGUAGAGAUCAGAAGGAAUACCGAUUGCGAAGGCGAUCUACUAGAACAUUAUUGACGCUGAGACGCGAAAGCGUGGGGAGCAAACAGGAUUAGAUACCCCGGUAGUC